GAAAGAAAGAAAGAAAGAAAGAAAGAAAGAAAGAAAGAAAGGAAGGAAAGAAGAAAGAAAGCAAAAGUGAGAGGGGAGGGAGAGGGAGGGAGAAAGGAAAGAAGGAAGGAAGGAAGGAAGGAAGGAAGAAAAAAAAAGCGAGUACUGGCCAUUGAUUUCUCUACACACUGACUUGCAGACUCAAUGGGAAUUGCUGUCUCAUGCCCUGAUGCAUGCUUCUCACUAGGAUGGCUAUAUCCUUAAACUAUGGUCUCUGUAUGCAGUCCAUGCUGGCCUUGAACAUAUGAUGCUCCCACCUCUUGAGUACUGGGAAAAUAAGUAUGUGUCAUCAUAUCUGACCAUGUUGAACAUCUUUUUGGAAAUCAGUUGUUCCUUAAACUUAUAUAUCAGCGUUACUAUUAUUUUCACCUCAUUGUACAUCAUCAUUGUAGUGGUGGUUUGAAUGAGAAUGGACCCCAUACGCUAAUAUGUUUGAAUAUUUGGUACCAUUUCAUGUAAAUUUGUGAAGGAGUAGUAUGUGUCACCUUGUUGGAUGAGGUGUGUCAGAAGCUUAAAACCUUUCCAAGUGUCUUUCUGCCUCCUGCUGUGGAUCAAGAUGUGAUCUCUCAGCUGCUACUUCAGCCUCUCACCUCCAUGUUCUUGUUCUGCCACCACAGACCGUAAUCUUUUUUUUUUAAUUUUUUAAUUUUUUUUGACUGUAAUCUUCUAACCACAAACCCAAUUAAAUUCUCUCUCUAUUA
Long non-coding RNA from Psammomys obesus (fat sand rat), 740 nucleotides. RefSeq lists it as uncharacterized. The record is from RefSeq and is a predicted model, not a curated record. Lineage: Eukaryota; Metazoa; Chordata; Mammalia; Rodentia; Muridae. The transcript is spliced from 2 exons.